GAUAGCUGUGCUGUAUUGCACUUAGAAAUUUCCCGUAAUCAAAACGAGAAUGUAGAACUGAAGAGGGAAUUAACACGUUUGGAAAACGAACUUAGGGCUACACGGAUACGACGAAAAACAGGGGACUGUUUUCCCAACCAGGAUAACGUCUCUAGAAGGGACUGGGGCAUUAAUCCUCGGAAAGAACCAUUUUCAGCCAUAAUUGAAGAUGAUUUUACGCUUUGGCAACUGUCCGACUAUGGAGAGCAACAAUCCACAGACAUUCAUGAGAAUGGAAAUGACCUACCUCAGAUCAAAGAGGAGCGGUCUGAAGAGGAGGAGAUGUGGGGUUGUGAAGAU
Chanos chanos (milkfish) is the source of this 339-nucleotide long non-coding RNA. RefSeq lists it as uncharacterized. Lineage: Eukaryota; Metazoa; Chordata; Actinopteri; Gonorynchiformes; Chanidae. The transcript has 3 exons. The record is from RefSeq and is a predicted model, not a curated record.